RNAcentral lists this ribosomal RNA (756 nucleotides) under uncultured archaeon. RNAcentral's name for it is "bacterial SSU rRNA". It matches the Rfam family "Archaeal small subunit ribosomal RNA", at positions 102 to 856 of the family's 1478-position model. The record is from RNAcentral.
GGAUAACCUGCCCUUGGGACCGGCAUAACCCCGGGAAACUGGGGAUAAUACCGGAUAACGCAUAUCUGCUGGAAUGCUUUAUGCGUAAAAUGGAUUUGUCUGCCCAAGGAUGGGUCUGCGGCCUAUCAGGUAGUAGUGGGUGUAAUGUACCUACUAGCCUACGACGGGUACGGGUUGUGAGAGCAAGAGCCCGGAGAUGGAUUCUGAGACAUGAAUCCAGGCCCUACGGGGCGCAGCAGGCGCGAAAACUUUACAAUGCGGGAAACCGUGAUAAGGGGACACCGAGUGCCAGCAUCAUAUGUUGGCUGUCCAGAUGUGUAAAAUACAUCUGUUAGCAAGGGCCGGGCAAGACCGGUGCCAGCCGCCGCGGUAACACCGGCGGCCCGAGUGGUGAUCGUGAUUAUUGGGUCUAAAGGGUCCGUAGCCGGUUUGGUCAGUCCUCCGGGAAAUCUGACGGCUCAACCGUUAGGCUUUCGGUGGAUACUGCCAGACUUGGAACCGGGAGAGGUAAGAGGUACUACGGGGGUAGGAGUGAAAUCCUGUAAUCCUCGAGGGACCACCUGUGGCGAAGGCGCCUCACCAGAACGGCUUCGACAGUGAGGGACGAAAGCUGGGGGAGCAAACCGGAUUAGAUACCCGGGUAGUCCCAGCCGUAAACGAUGCGCGUUAGGUGUGUCGAUGACCACGAGUCAUCGAGGUGCCGAAGGGAAACCGUGAAACGCGCCGCCUGGGAAGUACGGUCGCAAGGCUGAAACU